GUUUGUGCAAAAGUAAUUGCAGUUUUUGUCGUCCAUUAAUUUUUAAUGGUAAAAACUGCAAUUACUUUUUCACCAACCUAAUACUUU
Molecule: microRNA precursor, 87 nt
Filed under: Pan paniscus (pygmy chimpanzee)
Lineage: Eukaryota; Metazoa; Chordata; Mammalia; Primates; Hominidae
Description: miRNA (ENSPPAG00000007782.1)
Source: RNAcentral